Molecule: ribosomal RNA, 23 nt
Filed under: uncultured Atheliaceae
Lineage: Eukaryota; Fungi; Basidiomycota; Agaricomycetes; Atheliales; Atheliaceae
Description: partial 28S ribosomal RNA
Source: RNAcentral
UGACCUCAGAUCAGGUAGGACUA